RNAcentral lists this ribosomal RNA (460 nucleotides) under uncultured bacterium. RNAcentral describes it as "partial 16S ribosomal RNA". It matches the Rfam family "Bacterial small subunit ribosomal RNA", at positions 338 to 795 of the family's 1533-position model. The record is from RNAcentral.
CCUACGGGAGGCAGCAGUGAGGAAUAUUGGUCAAUGGGCGCGAGCCUGAACCAGCCAAGUAGCGUGAAGGAUGACUGCCCUACGGGUUGUAAACUUCUUUUAUAUGGGAAUAAAAUGUUCCACGUGUGGGAUUUUGUAGGUAACAUAUGAAUAAGGAUCGGCUAACUCCGUGCCAGCAGCCGCGGUAAUACGGAGGAUCCGAGCGUUAUCCGGAUUUAUUGGGGUUAAAGGGAGCGUAGGUGGAUUGUUAAGUCAGUUGUGAAAGUUUGCGGCUCAACCGUAAAAUUGCAGUUGAAACUGGCAGUCUUGAGUACAGUAGAGGUGGGCGGAAUUCGUGGUGUAGCGGUGAAAUGCUUAGAUAUCACGAAGAACUCCGAUUGCGAAGGCAGCUCACUGGACUGCAACUGACACUGAGGCUCGAAAGUGUGGGUAUCAAACAGGAUUAGAUACCCUAGUAGUC